Cynoglossus semilaevis (tongue sole) is the source of this 662-nucleotide long non-coding RNA. RefSeq lists it as uncharacterized. The record is from RefSeq and is a predicted model, not a curated record. The transcript is spliced from 3 exons. NCBI's taxonomy places the organism in Eukaryota, Metazoa, Chordata, Actinopteri, Pleuronectiformes, Cynoglossidae.
GUUUCCAGUUGUAAAAGUCCAACUGCAUUGAUGUUUUUUUUUUCUUCUACAGAUUCUCGGUUAUUUACCUGGUGAAGGUAAACCAGUAAACGUAACAUGUGAAGUAAAGAAAGGAGCCGCGGCAGCUCUCGGAGAAGUCCAGUUUUUCCCCAAGAGUAUUUUUGACCUGAAGUACUACCCGUACUACGGCAAACUUCGACAUGGAAACUACUCGGCUCCAGUUGUUGCUGUUCGUUUCGCCUCGGUCCAGAACGGCGCUCAAAUCCAGGUUCAGUGUAAACUGAACGGAAAAGGAAUCAUUAACGAUUCUUCCACCGACCGAUACCUGGGAAGCGUCACCUUCUCCCUGGAGGUCGGAGGUUAAAGCGGAGACACCGGUCGACGCUCUACAAAAAAAAUAAAUCACGGUUAAGUAUGUUUUUUAAUUAAAAAAAAAACCUAAUUCAUCCCUUUCCUGAUCUAUCCAAUGAACAAUCAGAGCAGAAUAAUAGAGCGACCGCUGGCGUCAUCUUGCAGUGACACAACAGAUGACGGGGCUUUUAUAAAUUCGACGCUUUAAAAAUAAGGGGUAACAUAACAAUUGAGUAACACAGUGAAAAAAAUUUGAAUAAUAUGAGGAAAUUAUUAACCGAUCUAUCUAAAAACUUCUUAUCUUCUUUUGG